GCUGCUCCAGUCCCAGGGGGUCAGGAGGCUAUGUGAGGCUGAUGUUUUUCAAUUUCUCGAGUGCCUUCAAUACAAUCCAGCCUAAAUUACUAAAGGCAAAACUGGAGAGUAUUGGAGCGGAUCCUCUAUUCACCACCUGGAUCUACA
Thalassophryne amazonica is the source of this 147-nucleotide long non-coding RNA. RefSeq lists it as uncharacterized. The record is from RefSeq and is a predicted model, not a curated record. The transcript has 3 exons. Lineage: Eukaryota; Metazoa; Chordata; Actinopteri; Batrachoidiformes; Batrachoididae.